GCAAGGAAUCUGUUGGUUAUCUAGUGGAUUUGCGCAUGCUUGUAGUGUGAGUUAGUUUAAGUGAUGAGUUGUAAGAUAGGAGACACCCACACUCUGGCAAAGGGUAAGUAUAAAUGGAAGUUUUUCUGUUAAUUUUUCUAACUCUGGGUACCAUCACUCCCUGGCGAUCACUUUCUUUGAGCAUCAUUUCCAUCUGAUCCUUGAAAGCCUUCCAACUGCAAAUCAAGAGUAGACAUUGUGUCAUCAAUGACUUACACAAUCUUGUUUCUAUUGGCCCCUCACCAAAAUCCUAUAGUUCAACCCUGUACUUAGAAAAGGCGCUGACACAAUUGCUACAUAUUUCUAAACUCAGCUUUUAACUUAACCUCAAGCACAUCUUGCAAAACACACCAUAUUUAAAAAUAAAAGAAAAGAAAACCUUCACUACACUAGAGUACAAAUGUGAUCUUCACCCACAAGCCAUGUAACUAGAGAAUUUCAACUAGCCCAAUCCGCAGGACUUCUACUUUAUGUAACAAACCGAAGGUUGUAAGUGCCACCCUACAAGUUACCAGCCAUCAUAUACACACUAUCUCCUAUUGAAUUAAUGUCUGGCAAAAGUAAUAUCAUAUCAAGUGGUAGAAGAUAGAAUCAGUCUAAGUCCAAAAUUUUGAAAGACUCUGACAUGUAUAAAUUUCUUGAAACAGCAGUACUUUUUUAACAAGGAAUAAUGCAUGAGAGGGUAAGAUACCUUAUUUCCAUAUCCUGCAGGAGAACAACAAGCUUGCGCUUAUCAGGCCUAAUGGUCUUUGCAUGCCCAUCAAAAAGGAAUCUCCGUUGACCCAUCAGAAAAUGUGGGAAGUUUCCACCCUGAGUUGUCAUGAAAACCUCACUAAACAAGCAUACAGUGUAAUCCAAAGCUGCCAACCUCGAAGAAUAGCCCUCAAAAGAAGCAAGCUCAUCUGGGGUUGCAAGAGAGUCCUUGGUGUAAAGAAGGGGGAACAUCUGCAACAAAGGAGUUAAAUAUCUUUCUGCUUUGUAAAUUUUCCCCGAUGCUAAAUAAAUUGACGUGUUGUUAUCAAAUCCCAUACCACGCAGCAUCAUCCCAACCUAUGCUGACAGUAAAAAUAUCAUGCAACAAAAAGAUUUAUGUUUUGCCAAAAUAGAUUAGCAUGAAUGAAAAUCAGCAAGGUGUAAUUGAAAGAAAACGUAAAAUGUUAACCAAAUGUAGCAAGCAUGGCAUGUUAUGCAAAAAUAACAUAGCAUCAAAAUUACUUCUGUUUUAGUUUGUACAUUAUAAAACGGUGUUCAAAUAUCUUGUUUCACUUUUCACAUGGUAAUGCAUGGAUUGCAAAUAUCAAACAGAAGGAUCCAAAUGAAGUUGAGUUCAAUAAGCUAUGAACUUAGAAAGGCUCUAAAGUCCGUCUUUUUCAGGCUACAUUAACAUUACAUGCGUAAAACAAGUAUAAAAAAUGAAACUCUUAACAUUUUGAAACAUAAAAAAAUUUGGAGGGGAACAAAAUGGCCUACACCAAGCCAGAAUAUAAAAAAUCAAAACGUACAAAUAACUAUUUGAGUUGGCCACAAAACCCCAGGCCAUUAUGUUCUUACCUACAGCCUUAAAAGAAUGUUUCAUCUGAUGCUCCCAUCAUGCUUUGCAGAAUGUUGAAAUAAAUAACUAAUGCUACAAGAAAAAGCUAAAGACCAGAGAAAUUUCUUUUAAGCUUGUCAGCAAAGCACAAUAGCAACUGCUUCAAUGAUAAGGAAAAUCCUAGCCAAAGCUGUUACAAAAAGAGCUCAAAUCAAAAUGUCAAAGGCCCAAAAAGCAAGAGAGGAUGCGUAUAUAUGGGGUACCUACCUCCAAGGGAGUUAGAGGGCAUUUUCCUUCAAUACGAUUGAGACCAGGUAUAAUGACACGGUCUUUUCUUUUGAACUUUCUCCUCCACCCUAUUUCUCUAAUUGAAUCCAUUUUGAGCUUUUCAGCGUCUCCUCCAUCAUACACACAACAUGAGAAGGCCACCAUGUCCUCCUCAAAGCGGAGGUGGAUAGAGACAUAUUUUCCACCAGUCCUUGAGCUCUUCUCAAUCAUUCGGUCUACUAGUUUGUGUGCGAGUGUUGAUAUUGGGGAAGAGAACCUGAGGGCUUUAUAAUUUGCCAUACAUCUCAGCAAUUGGAUAUGAGGUGGGAUGCUCAUUGCCAAUCUAUUGGCAAAGGGAGCAAUGCGGAUAACCCCUUUCUCCUGAAGGACAGGAUAAACUUCUCCCAGGUAAUAAUUAGCAGGAGCCCAAGCUUGGACACGGAUGUUUGGAAUACUACUAAUGUUGUAGUCAUAUCUUUCCAUCACUUCAUCAGGUAGCUCUUUAACCACUUUCACAUGACCCUCAAGGGUGGCUAUAAAAUGAUCCUCAUCAUAUAUGUCCUUAAACUCACUUGGAUCCCUCCAGACACUGUUGAAUUCAAAGUGAGGGAUGACUAGUAUUGCAUUCAAAAGUCCAGCUAAUGCAACUGCAUUGCAGAUCGCAGAACGCUGCUGGUUGAGACCACCAUUUGCCUCAAUAAUCAAGUAACCAUUAGGACCAGAUGACUCUGCAAUUCAAUUGAUAAUACAAGCUUUAAUUUACAUAGUACAGCUAAUUUCCCCUAAGUAUGGAGCAACAAGUCAAAAGUUAUCCUCCCAGCUCACAAAGUUCAUAGUAGGUUGAGGAUAACAGAUAAAUUUAAGGCCCCCCGCUUAUGAUUUGCAGGACACAAAAGGAGAUGCUUCUUUUUUUCUGUUUGUAUUUAUUUCAUACAAUCCAUGGGUUUAGAACCCUGCUGCUUGCAACACCCAAAAGGAUACGCAUUAGCAAGUAGCUGUAACUCCCAGGUUAAAAGUUUUCCCACAAGAAAAUUCAAACUCCACACCAGUAGUUGGAUUUAGCUACCUUCAUUUGCAGCAAAAUGUUGUUGCCUAGCAGUUGAAUUGCGACAUGGUUUCUGCACUUUCAACCUCCUUUUGAAUUUCCAUAGAGAUGACAACUCGAUUGCAGUAGAAUUAUCCGCUGCAAUAUCAGGCCAGAGCUUUGCAAACAACUCAUGGCUCCGAUACACCGAACCAGGAAGAUUAGGUUGAAGCAAGCCAGAGAAGGGCCCCACACACAUGAUCAAACCAGAAAUAUACAGCAAAGGCAAGAGCAGCAAGUACCGGAUGUUCCACCGGAGAAAGAUCCCAGCAGUAAGGUUCUCCCGGCGAAAAUGAGACUGAACUUUAGAGCGAAGCCGGCGGCGGCAUUGGGAUAUUCCGGUCUGGAGGUGACGGCGGGGAGAAGGCGGCGGGCUGGGAGAGUUGCUGUCGCCGCUUCCCUCGCUAGCACAGCCAGUAUUGCCGUUUCCGUUGUGUACCUUGGCUUUCAUUGCAGUAGCAGUGUUUAUGGCAAUGCGAAUAGAGAGACAGAGAGAGAGUAGUGUCUGUUUCUUGUGAGCAGAGAAAGCAAAAAAGAUGGGUUUUGAUUGCAUACGAUGCGGUGGCGUAUGGCGUUUCCGCUUUUUGUAAUGCCGUUUUCAGGAGAUUUUUUAGUGUGAUCACUGCUCACCGAACAGUGCAGAGAGGGAAG
This 3572-nucleotide unclassified non-coding RNA is filed under the name Hevea brasiliensis (rubber tree). Lineage: Eukaryota; Viridiplantae; Streptophyta; Magnoliopsida; Malpighiales; Euphorbiaceae. The record is from RNAcentral.